GGCGCCAUAGCUAAGCGGUUAAAGCGAAAGAUUAGAAAUCUUUUCCUCUGUGAGGGCGUAGGUUCGAGUCCUACUGGCGUCG
Molecule: transfer RNA, 82 nt
Filed under: Galerina marginata CBS 339.88
Lineage: Eukaryota; Fungi; Basidiomycota; Agaricomycetes; Agaricales; Galerinaceae
Description: tRNA-Ser (AGA) (tRNA-Ser-AGA-3-1)
Rfam family: tRNA
About the family: Transfer RNA (tRNA) molecules are approximately 80 nucleotides in length. Their secondary structure includes four short double-helical elements and three loops (D, anti-codon, and T loops).
Source: RNAcentral